Long non-coding RNA from Alligator mississippiensis (American alligator), 970 nucleotides. RefSeq lists it as uncharacterized. Lineage: Eukaryota; Metazoa; Chordata; Crocodylia; Alligatoridae. The record is from RefSeq and is a predicted model, not a curated record. The transcript has 7 exons.
UGUGACACUCCUGCCCCAAUACAUGAUUUAAUUUGAGUAGAAUCAUUUGAUAAAGGACAGAACUACCAGCAAAGCUUCUUGAUAUAUAAAGAAAUGAUACUUCUUUAAGCAAGUUUUCUUGAAAGGGAAGGCAUUAUUUAUCAAUAUGGUGAUCUAGUGAAGUGGCAUGGAUUUAUAUGCAUGCCACUUUCUUUCAACUGCCAUACACACAAGACUGAAAAGAUGACUCUAUUUCCCCCUCCCCUGCCAUACUUGCACAGAUGUGGAUAGUGUGGGAGUGAGCAGAGAGGUUCCUUGCCCAGCUUUGCCUCCAGAGCAAUGUUUCUUUUGGGUAUAAAUUUUGAGAUCCCAGGGAGUGCAGACAAAGCAGCUCUUGGCACCCUCGGUCCUAUACCAAGAGCACCACAAUCAUCUUCCACCAGCAGGAAUAAACAGUGGCAAGAAUCCAUGUGCCCAGCACAUCGUGAGCAUAUUGUGCGUGGCAUUGUUGAAGUGAUCUAUCCUAUUCAAAAUCGUGCAGUGGGAGCAGGUGAGCAGAUGGAAAGAGCUGCGUUGCAUACUCAGAGGCUGGAAAGGGAUUUGUACGAAGAAGCAAACAGCAGGGAGGAAUACUAUGUGCUGCUUAUUGAUAAGAUCUCUGAGACUUGCACGCGUAUACGGGAGCUGGAAAGAAACAGGCGCCAAGGACCUGAUGUACCACCUGCUGUUAGAGAUCAAGGAGCUCAUGUGGGUCAACCAUAAUCAAGAGCACCUGCUGGGUUGGAAGAGCUGAAUGCAGCUUCUGACAGCAACUGACAUUGGUCAAAAAUUGUCAGAACUCCUUGACUGUCGGCAUCAAUGCUGCCUCCUUUGGAUGCAUUGUGUGACAAGUGACAUGUGAUAAGUGUCCACCUAUUUUUUUUUUUGUUUGUUUUUUCAUUUGAAAUAUGUUGCCUUUUUCUUAAAUAUAAUAAACCUGUUCUUAAAUAUU